AAGACACUAGUAAAAUUAUUACAUUGCUUUGUCGGGGCAAUAUUGUGGCCUCAUCCCCACGUGUCUUG
This 68-nucleotide transfer RNA is filed under the name Bertella idiomorpha. RNAcentral's name for it is "tRNA-Asp". Lineage: Eukaryota; Metazoa; Chordata; Actinopteri; Lophiiformes; Oneirodidae. The record is from RNAcentral.